CGUAGGAACAUGCCUUUUAGUGGGGGACAACUUGGGGAAACUCGAGCUAAUACCGCAUAAGACCUGAGGGUUAAAGGUGCCUGGUUCUUAGAGCGCAUUUAGAUUGUUUAAGUGUGUUGUAAGAACCAGGUGUCGCUAGAAGAUUGGCCUGCGUCAGAUUAGCUAGUUGGUAGGGUAAAGGCCUACCAAGGCGACGAUCUGUAGCUGUUCUGAGAGGAUGAUCAGCCACACUGGGACUGAGACACGGCCCAGACUCCUACGGGAGGCAGCAGUGGGGAAUUUUCCGCAAUGGGCGAAAGCCUGACGGAGCAACGCCGCGUGAGGGAUGAAGGCCUCUGGGCUGUAAACCUCUUUUAUCAAGGAAGAAGAUCUGACGGUACUUGAUGAAUAAGCCACGGCUAAUUCCGUGCCAGCAGCCGCGGUAAUACGGGAGUGGCAAGCGUUAUCCGGAAUUAUUGGGCGUAAAGCGUCCGCAGGCGGUCUUUUAAGUCUGCUGUUAAAGCGUGGAGCUUAACUCCAUUUCGGCAGUGGAAACUGGAAGACUAGAGUAUGGUAGGGGCA
RNAcentral lists this ribosomal RNA (561 nucleotides) under Synechococcus sp. MS-M-34. RNAcentral's name for it is "bacterial SSU rRNA". It matches the Rfam family "Bacterial small subunit ribosomal RNA", at positions 116 to 659 of the family's 1533-position model. Lineage: Bacteria; Bacillati; Cyanobacteriota; Cyanophyceae; Synechococcales; Synechococcaceae. The record is from RNAcentral.